Molecule: long non-coding RNA, 714 nt
Organism: Ostrea edulis (European flat oyster)
Lineage: Eukaryota; Metazoa; Mollusca; Bivalvia; Ostreida; Ostreidae
Exons: 3
Source: RefSeq, a predicted model, not a curated record
CAGUCAAGCAACGACAUCAAUUUUCCAAGGCAGAAGAAUUGUUACUAAAUGAAGAUGUCUGCAAAAAUCGUGUUCAUCUAAGCCUGAUAAGCCAAAGGCUUAAGUGAGUUGUAGUCAUAGCGACCCAUCUGUCAUCCAGAGUCCCGCAGCUUUUCUCGUACACAAUUUUCUUCUCCAGAACUGCUGACGGGAUUUUGAUGAAAGUUUGCAGGGAUGAAGAAAUCGAGGCCCGCUACAAGUUUUAUCAUGAUUUCUCAUUGGGUGUGAAGCAACCAUUUGGAGGAGCCCUUUUUUGUGAUCUGCAACACAUACGAAUAUUGCCUCCAGUUUGUUGAAGAUAGAAAUGGCGGUCCAAGCAAAGGAAAGACAAAAAAAGCAACAGAAAGCAAACCGGGAGGCAAAGAAACUUACCAAAUUUCUUGAAUAUUUGCCUGCAAACCACAAUAAGUGAAGAGAAUAAACCAAAUCAUGUUUGGAUAGUCCAGACAUUGUCAUAAUACGUGCUAUAAUUAAUCACUACACUUUCAUUGACAGUAAACGUUCAAUCAUGUACGCAUUCAAGUGUGUGUUGUUUUCAUGUGCAAUAUCUGAUACUAUAACAAAUAAAUGUGAAAUAAAGUUUAAGUUUGACUUACAUUAUUUGCAUAAUGAGUGUAGAAUAUGUCAAAGAUUUUGCAUGAAUAUUGUCAUAAAAUCUUGAAGAUUUCUAGGGUC